Molecule: ribosomal RNA, 600 nt
Filed under: Staphylococcus aureus
Lineage: Bacteria; Bacillati; Bacillota; Bacilli; Caryophanales; Staphylococcaceae
Description: bacterial SSU rRNA
Rfam family: Bacterial small subunit ribosomal RNA
Source: RNAcentral
UAUAGAUGGAUCCGCGCUGCAUUAGCUAGUUGGUAAGGUAACGGCUUACCAAGGCAACGAUGCAUAGCCGACCUGAGAGGGUGAUCGGCCACACUGGAACUGAGACACGGUCCAGACUCCUACGGGAGGCAGCAGUAGGGAAUCUUCCGCAAUGGGCGAAAGCCUGACGGAGCAACGCCGCGUGAGUGAUGAAGGUCUUCGGAUCGUAAAACUCUGUUAUUAGGGAAGAACAUAUGUGUAAGUAACUGUGCACAUCUUGACGGUACCUAAUCAGAAAGCCACGGCUAACUACGUGCCAGCAGCCGCGGUAAUACGUAGGUGGCAAGCGUUAUCCGGAAUUAUUGGGCGUAAAGCGCGCGUAGGCGGUUUUUUAAGUCUGAUGUGAAAGCCCACGGCUCAACCGUGGAGGGUCAUUGGAAACUGGAAAACUUGAGUGCAGAAGAGGAAAGUGGAAUUCCAUGUGUAGCGGUGAAAUGCGCAGAGAUAUGGAGGAACACCAGUGGCGAAGGCGACUUUCUGGUCUGUAACUGACGCUGAUGUGCGAAAGCGUGGGGAUCAAACAGGAUUAGAUACCCUGGUAGUCCACGCCGUAAACGAUGA